AGAGCAAACCGGGGGAACUGAAACAUCUAAGUACCCCGAGGAGAAGAAAUCAACCGAGAUUCCGGUAGUAGCGGCGAGCGAACCUGGAUUAGCCCUUAAGCGCUCGGUGAAGUAGGUGAACAAGCUGGAAAGCUUGGCGAUACAGGGUGAUAGCCCCGUAACCGACGCUUCAUCGAGCGUGAAAUCGAGUAGGGCGGGACACGUGAUAUCCUGUCUGAAUAUGGGGGGACCAUCCUCCAAGGCUAAAUACUCCUGACUGACCGAUAGUGAACCAGUACCGUGAGGGAAAGGCGAAAAGAACCCCUGUGAGGGGAGUGAAAUAGAACCUGAAACCGUGUACGUACAAGCAGUAGGAGCACCUUCGUGGUGUGACUGCGUACCUUUUGUAUAAUGGGUCAGCGACUUAUAUUCAGUGGCAAGGUUAACCGUAUAGGGGAGCCGUAGCGAAAGCGAGUCUUAACUGGGCGCUCAGUCUCUGGAUAUAGACCCGAAACCGGGUGAUCUAGCCAUGGGCAGGUUGAAGGUUGAGUAACAUCAACUGGAGGACCGAACCGACUAAUGUUGAAAAAUUAGCGGAUGACUUGUGGCUAGGGGUGAAAGGCCAAUCAAACUCGGAGAUAGCUGGUUCUCCCCGAAAGCUAUUUAGGUAGCGCCUCGGACGAAUACUACUGGGGGUAGAGCACUGUUAAGGCUAGGGGGUCAUCCCGACUUACCAACCCUUUGCAAACUCCGAAUACCAGUAAGUACUAUCCGGGAGACACACGGCGGGUGCUAACGUCCGUCGUGGAGAGGGAAACAACCCAGACCGCCAGCUAAGGUCCCAAAGUAUUGCUAAGUGGGAAACGAUGUGGGAAGGCUCAGACAGCUAGGAUGUUGGCUUAGAAGCAGCCAUCAUUUAAAGAAAGCGUAAUAGCUCACUAGUCGAGUCGGCCUGCGCGGAAGAUGUAACGGGGCUAAGCA
Molecule: ribosomal RNA, 960 nt
Filed under: Vibrio cholerae
Lineage: Bacteria; Pseudomonadati; Pseudomonadota; Gammaproteobacteria; Vibrionales; Vibrionaceae
Description: partial 23S ribosomal RNA
Rfam family: Bacterial large subunit ribosomal RNA
Source: RNAcentral